RNAcentral lists this ribosomal RNA (750 nucleotides) under Bacillus sp. PSu5_10. Its description in RNAcentral is "bacterial SSU rRNA". It matches the Rfam family "Bacterial small subunit ribosomal RNA", at positions 56 to 788 of the family's 1533-position model. Lineage: Bacteria; Bacillati; Bacillota; Bacilli; Caryophanales; Bacillaceae. The record is from RNAcentral.
UGCAAGUCGAGCGGACCGACGGGAGCUUGCUCCCUUAGGUCAGCGGCGGACGGGUGAGUAACACGUGGGUAACCUGCCUGUAAGACUGGGAUAACUCCGGGAAACCGGGGCUAAUACCGGAUGCUUGAUUGAACCGCAUGGUUCAAUCAUAAAAGGCGGCUUCGGCUGCCGUUUACAGAUGGACCCGCGGCGCAUUAGCUAGUUGGUGAGGUAACGGCUCACCAAGGCGACGAUGCGUAGCCGACCUGAGAGGGUGAUCGGCCACACUGGGACUGAGACACGGCCCAGACUCCUACGGGAGGCAGCAGUAGGGAAUCUUCCGCAAUGGACGAAAGUCUGACGGAGCAACGCCGCGUGAGUGAUGAAGGUUUUCGGAUCGUAAAGCUCUGUUGUUAGGGAAGAACAAGUACCGUUCGAAUAGGGCGGUACCUUGACGGUACCUAACCAGAAAGCCACGGCUAACUACGUGCCAGCAGCCGCGGUAAUACGUAGGUGGCAAGCGUUGUCCGGAAUUAUUGGGCGUAAAGCGCGCGCAGGCGGUUUCUUAAGUCUGAUGUGAAAGCCCCCGGCUCAACCGGGGAGGGUCAUUGGAAACUGGGGAACUUGAGUGCAGAAGAGGAGAGUGCAAUUCCACGUGUAGCGGUGAAAUGCGUAGAGAUGUGGAGGAACACCAGUGGCGAAUGCGACUCUCUGGUCUGUAACUGACGCUGAGGCGCGAAAGCGUGGGGAGCGAACAGGAUUAGAUACCCU